This 515-nucleotide ribosomal RNA is filed under the name uncultured bacterium. RNAcentral describes it as "partial 16S ribosomal RNA". It matches the Rfam family "Bacterial small subunit ribosomal RNA", at positions 28 to 523 of the family's 1533-position model. The record is from RNAcentral.
GAUGAACGCUGGCGGCGUGCCUAAUACAUGCAAGUCGAGCGAAUGGAUUAAGAGCUUGCUCUUAUGAAGUUAGCGGCGGACGGGUGAGUAACACGUGAGUAACCUGCCCAUAAGACUGGGAUAACUCCGGGAAACCGGGGCUAAUACCGGAUAAUAUUUUGAACUGCAUGGUUCAAAAUUGAAAGGCGGCUUAGGCUGUCACUUAUGGAUGGACCCGCGUCGCAUUAGCUAGUUGGGGAGGUAACGGCUCACCAAGGCAACGAUGCGUAGCCGACCUGAGAGGGUGAUCGGCCACACUGGGACUGAGACACGGCCCAGACUCCGACGGGAGGCAGCAGUAGGGAAUCUUCCGCAAUGGACGAAAGUCUGACGGAGCAACGCCGCGUGAGUGAUGAAGGCUUUCGGGUCGUAAAACUCUGUUGUUAGGGAAGAACAAGUGCUAGUUGAAUAAGCUGGCACCUUGACGGUACCUAACCAGAAAGCCACGGCUAACUACGUGCCAGCCGCCGCCGUAA